This 535-nucleotide ribosomal RNA is filed under the name Thyridium pluriloculosum. RNAcentral describes it as "Phialemoniopsis pluriloculosa partial large subunit ribosomal RNA". It matches the Rfam family "Eukaryotic large subunit ribosomal RNA", at positions 88 to 649 of the family's 3401-position model. The record is from RNAcentral. Lineage: Eukaryota; Fungi; Ascomycota; Sordariomycetes; Thyridiales; Thyridiaceae.
GGCGAGUGAAGCGGCAACAGCUCAAAUUUGAAAUCUGGCUUCGGCCCGAGUUGUAAUUUGUAGAGGAUGCUUUUGGUGCGGUGCCUUCUGAGUUCCCUGGAACGGGACGCCUUAGAGGGUGAGAGCCCCGUAAAGUUGGACACCAAGCCUAUGUAAAGCUCCUUCGACGAGUCGAGUAGUUUGGGAAUGCUGCUCAAAAUGGGAGGUAAAUUUCUUCUAAAGCUAAAUACCGGCCAGAGACCGAUAGCGCACAAGUAGAGUGAUCGAAAGAUGAAAAGCACUUUGAAAAGAGGGUUAAAUAGUACGUGAAAUUGUUGAAAGGGAAGCGCUCAUGACCAGACUUGUGCCCUGCGGAUCAUCCAGCCUUCUGGCUGGUGCACUUCGCUUGGUUCAGGCCAGCAUCGGUUCUCUGAGGGGGAUAAAAGCUUCAGGAACGUAGCUCCUUCGGGAGCAUUAUAGCCUGUUGCACAAUACCUCUCGGGGGACCGAGGUUCGCGCAUCUGCAAGGAUGCUGGCGUAAUGGUCAUCAGCGACC